RNAcentral lists this ribosomal RNA (671 nucleotides) under Thaxterogaster vibratilis. RNAcentral describes it as "eukaryotic LSU rRNA". It matches the Rfam family "Eukaryotic large subunit ribosomal RNA", at positions 1 to 653 of the family's 3401-position model. The record is from RNAcentral. Lineage: Eukaryota; Fungi; Basidiomycota; Agaricomycetes; Agaricales; Cortinariaceae.
GUGACCUCAAAUCAGGUAGGACUACCCGCUGAACUUAAGCAUAUCAAUAAGCGGAGGAAAAGAAACUAACAAGGAUUCCCCUAGUAACUGCGAGUGAAGCGGGAAAAGCUCAAAUUUAAAAUCUGGCAGUCUUACUGUCCGAGUUGUAAUCUAGAGAAGCAUUAUCCGCGUUGGACCGUGUACAAGUCUCCUGGAAUGGAGCGUCAUAGAGGGUGAGAAUCCCGUCUUUGACACGGACUGCCAAGGCUUUUGUGAUGUGCUCUCAAAGAGUCGAGUUGUUUGGGAAUGCAGCUCAAAAUGGGUGGUAAAUUCCAUCUAAAGCUAAAUAUUGGCGAGAGACCGAUAGCGAACAAGUACCGUGAGGGAAAGAUGAAAAGAACUUUGGAAAGAGAGUUAAACAGUACGUGAAAUUGCUGAAAGGGAAACGCUUGAAGUCAGUCGCGUUGAUCAGAGAUCAACCUUGCUUUUGCUUGGUGUACUUUCUGGUUUGACGGGUCAGCAUCAAUUUUGAUCAUUGGAAAAAGGUCAAGGGAAUGUGGCAUCUUCGGAUGUGUUUAUAGCCCUUGGUUGUAUGCAAUGGUUGGGAUUGAGGAACUCAGCACGCCGCAAGGCCGGGUUUUUAACCACGUACGUGCUUAGGAUGCUGGCAUAAUGGCUUUAAUCGACCCGUC